RNA transcript from Scatophagus argus, 4245 nucleotides. It is a transcript of the gene named ATP-binding cassette, sub-family G (WHITE), member 1, with no coding region annotated. The transcript is spliced from 16 exons. The record is from RefSeq and is a predicted model, not a curated record. Lineage: Eukaryota; Metazoa; Chordata; Actinopteri; Scatophagidae.
GCUGGUUCAUCUGUCAACGUUACCAGAGCUUUGCCUCAGGUACAGCAAGGUGUUCCUCUCCAGUCACAGCACGAUGUGUCACUUGUGGGUGGAGCCACGUCAGGUAGAAGCAGCCGCCGCGAUGAUCAGAGGACGAACUGAGAAAUGCAGAAAUAAAACGUGGAUGAAACCCUUUAGAGUCCACGUUUGUGUUUCUGAAAGGAUUCCUGCUCAAACGUUUAGUUUUUGUCUCGCUGAUGGACAAACUUACUUACUAGCGUUGUUAGCAUUACCAGUGAAGCUAACGAUGCCAGCCAGCCUCCUCACAGAUGGACGUGUUCACGCCUUACAACAGGAAGUGGACUGAAUGUCGACCAAACUUUUCAUUUUGAAUGCUUUUGUGAUUCCUUUUCUCAGAGCCUUAUUCUGUGUAAGUUCUGUCAGUGAAAGUAUUAAAGAUGGGUACUGUUACUGCAAAAUCCUGAGUGAGUUUAUCAGUGCUGCUGUCUCCUCCUGAAAUGCUGGGGUGGCCUGUAAAUGAGCCACGAGUCGCCCUCAGGUUGUCCUCCUGCAGCAUCACAGCUCGGCCAGCAGGUGGUGCUGCUGCACUGAGUCUCACUGUGUUAAAAUGCACCAGAUUUCCACUGAGCUCCAACUGUGACUUUAUUCUGGUUUUUUCCAUUCCUUCAGCUUCCACAAAUUGGAUCUGAGGUGUUCAUGACUAGAACAACAAAACAAUUUUAAAAUCAGACUUUAAAUAAAAGCCAACAUCUGCGUGAGGCCAUGUGGGUUUGAUGGCAGACGCAUGAAACUCUCCAAACUGCAUAGUUUGUUAUAACUCAUGUAACCCCUGCGUUAACUCUGACACACACAGAAACAAGCAAUUUAUAGUUCAUACAAAUGACAUUUUCCCUGAAUGUUAGAUUUUACUUUGGCGUCCAGUCAGACGUGAUGAUCGUGUCUGUUCAGGUUAUCGUUUUAUGUGCGGCCACACGUGAAGCUGACAUCAUGUGAAAUGGUUUGUGGGUUGUACUUCUGUAAAGCAGCACAGGAUCACAUCACACAAACAUCACGUGAGCUGCUGGGCCCGAUUUGGCCCGCGGGCCUCGAGUUUCACACCGAAUGCCAUCUGUGUGUCAAAUCAAAUUCUCACUAAUUCACUCGUUAGAUUCUUAACUGAUCACACUGUUUUGUGAAGUAUUUCUACUGCAUUCCUGUACUGCUUUUACUGAAGCAGUGAGUACGAGAUGAAAAUGUUUGGCGUGACUUCAGACACAAAUCAGACACUUGAUUUACUCUCAGAAAAAUGUCUCACUGCUGUCACUGACUCUGAAAAGCUCACUGCAUGGCUUCACGUCAGUGAUCCAGCCUGGCAAAGCCUCCACCAAUCAAACGACAGGGGGUGGAGCCAGCAGGCAGGUGGGCGGAGCCAGUGACCAUCAUACGUGGGCUGCUGCUGUCAGUGAGCAGCGAUCAGACGUGUCAGAGUGCUGCUGUCUCUCGGCCAUGGCCUGUCUGAUGGCCGCCUGGUCCGUCCACAACCCCACCGUCACCAACUCCAUCAUUAUGAACACCAACGGGCCCCCGGACCUGAUGUUGGACCCCCGGAUGGUGUGCGUUUGUAUGGACGAGGUGGUCAACAAGCGGCCGACGGGCAGCCAGCAGGCGCCGCUGCUGCAAGGACACCUGAAGAAGGUGGACAACAACCUGACGGAGGCCCAGAGGUUCUCGUCGUUACCACGGAGACCAGCGGUCAACAUCGAGUUCAAAGACGUCUCGUACUCCGUCAGAGAGGGACCCUGGUGGAGGAAGAAAGGUUACAAAACGCUGCUCAAAGGGAUCUCUGGGAAAUUCACCAGCGGGGACCUGGUGGCCAUCAUGGGGCCCUCAGGAGCCGGAAAGUCCACCCUGAUGAAUAUCCUGGCCGGGUACAGGGAGACGGGGAUGAAGGGGGAGAUCCUGAUCAACGGUCAGCCCAGAGACCUGCGCUCCUUCAGGAAGGUUUCCUGUUACAUCAUGCAGGACGACAUGCUGCUGCCUCACCUCACUGUGCAGGAGGCCAUGAUGGUUUCAGCCAACCUGAAGCUGCAGGAGAAGGUGGAGGCUCGAAGAGAGAUGGUCCGGGAGAUCCUGAUGGCGCUGGGUUUACUGGACUGUGCCCAGACCAGGACGUCUCACCUGUCGGGGGGUCAGAGGAAGCGACUGGCCAUCGCUCUGGAGCUCGUCAACAACCCGCCGGUCAUGUUCUUUGACGAGCCCACCAGCGGUUUGGACAGCUCGUCUUGUUUCCAGGUCGUCUCUCUACUGAAAGCUCUGGCUCAGGGAGGACGGACCGUCAUCUGCACCAUCCACCAACCCAGCGCCAAACUGUUCGAACUCUUCGACAAGCUGUAUGUUCUGAGUCAGGGUCAGUGUGUCUACAGAGGGAAGGUCUGCAGUCUGGUCCCCUACCUGAGAGAGCUCGGACUCAACUGCCCUACGUACCACAACCCGGCCGACUUCGUGAUGGAGGUGGCAUCAGGAGAGUACGGAGAUCAGAUGGUCCGACUGGUGAAAGCCGUCCAGGACAGGACGACCGAGAGGGACUAUCAGAGCGAACUGAACGGAGACACCAACCUCCACCCGUUCCUGUGGCAGCGCACGGAGGAGGAGAGCUCGUCGUCUGAGGGCUGCCACAGUUUCUCAGCCAGCUGCAUGACUCAGUUCUCCAUCCUUUUCAGACGGACGUUCCUCAGCAUCCUCAGAGACUCGGUGCUGACUCACCUGAGGAUCUCCUCUCACAUCGGGAUCGGCGUUCUGAUUGGUCUGUUGUACCUGGGCAUUGGGAACGAGGCCAAGAAGGUGCUCAGUAACUCAGGGUUCCUCUUCUUCUCCAUGCUGUUCCUGAUGUUCGCUGCUCUGAUGCCCACAGUGCUCACAUUUCCUCUGGAGAUGGGAGUCUUUCUGAGGGAACACCUGAACUACUGGUACAGCCUGAAGGCUUAUUACCUGGCCAAAACCAUGGCCGACGUCCCCUUCCAGGUAGUAUUCCCGGUGGUGUACUGCAGUAUUGUGUACUGGAUGACAGCUCAGCCCCCGGACGCCGGACGCUUCUUCCUCUUCCUGUCUCUGGGCGUUCUGACCUCUCUGGUAGCUCAGAGUUUGGGUCUGCUGAUUGGAGCCGCCUCCACCUCGCUACAGGUGGCGACGUUUGUCGGCCCAGUCACAGCGAUCCCUGUGCUGCUCUUCUCGGGGUUCUUCGUCAGCUUUGACACCAUCCCCUGGUACCUGCAAUGGAUGUCCUACAUCUCCUAUGUCAGGUACGGUUUCGAGGGCGUCAUCCUGUCCAUCUACGGUCUGGACCGAGAGGACCUUCACUGCGAUGAACAGGACACCUGUCACUUCCAGAAGUCCGAGGCCAUCCUGAAGGAGCUGGACAUGCUGGACGCCAAACUCUACCUGGACUUCAUCGUUCUUGCCAUCUUCUUCUUCUCUCUCAGGCUCAUCGCUUACUUUGUCCUCCGCUACAAGAUCAGCGCUGAGAGAUAGACCAGGACCAGGACCAGGACCAGGACCAGGAGCAGGCAUUUAGGAACAAAACCUUUAGGCCAAAGUUAGCGUGUAGCUGUGGAGUUUGUCUACAUGUCAACACUGAAUCUACUUUGGCUCGCUGUUAAAAAAGGAAUGACACUAAAAAGAGGCGGCAUGAGGGGACAAAGAGGACAAAGUGUCAUCAGAGGACGAGGUGAGGACACGUAGGUCCUUGAGGGACAGGAGCUGGCCUCCUGAUUCCCAAAAGUUCAACUGUGCCAGAAACUGAAGGACUACAACAAGCUGUCCAACGGAACCGGAGACAUCACCUGACAUUCACUUGUGGUUAUCAGGUGGGACAGACGCUGGACGCUCGUGAUUUGAUUUAUUUGACUGAGGACACGUCAGCUGAUGUGAUGGUGAUCAGUUACACUCAGCUGACCCUUAGUGGCGGCUGCAGAGAGGUGUUCAUCACUGAAGGGAGGCUCCAUAACAGAAGCACAACGUGGAUCCUGCUGCAGAACUCACUUCUGUUGAGAAGAUAAACUUCACCUGAGGUGGUUUGUAAGAAGUAACUCCGACCUCACUGCUGAAAACAGUCAGAUGUUUAGCAAAUUCACCAAAAUGAGUCCGACAAAGAAAUACAAAACGUUUCAAGUAUUUGUGUUAUCUGUAGUAUGAAGUAAGCACACGUCUCAUUGUAAACACACAGACAGCUCUGCAGCUCUAACAGCUUCCACUCUUCUGUGAAGGCUU